GACCCAAUGGAAUUGGUGUUUUUUUAAGAGCAAGUCACUCGGGCACCAAAACGUACCAAAAUGCCCUUUCCCCCCAGAACACCAUUUCACAUUUGAGAAAUCCCGCCCGCGUUGCCCUCUCUAGUCUUUCGUCGCCCAGCACCGAGUCUUUGAAAUCGCCGUCCCUUUCGUCGUCCAGCACUUGAGAGUCUUUGAAAUCGCCGUCGCAGACUCGCUUCCACCCUCCCCCUCCCUUCGAAGCAUUUCUUUCCUCCCCCUCAUCAGAGUCUUCGAAGCCUUAGCCCGAUCCCUAUCCCCAUCCCUCAAAAUCCAUUGAAGCCCCAUCAUAUUAAGCUUCAUCAACCAUGACUCUGGGUGUUUAUUUAAUCGGUGUAUAGUUGUUUAUUUUCUUGCUUGCAUUUUUGCAUUUUUUUUUUGGGUGCCAAAAGUUCUUAUCUUCUCGAUGAUUAGGAAACCCAAAUCCUUAAGCUGUUUCUUUUUUCAGUUUGCCUGAAUUCUUGUUUGCUUGAAUUUGUGUAUUUUGUGAUAUGUAUCUAGUUCGUAGGAGCUGUAUUUUACAAUACCUUGAUUUUUGGAUGGCUAUGUAAGUUUAAGACAUAGCCCUUGUCCAUCACCUACCUGUGAAAAUUAUAUGGUGUUCUUGAAGUUAUGUUUUUAUGUAUAAAUUGUGUUGGAUGUUGCAUUUCUUCAAAUCUGCUUGAUAUAGUUUGAGCAUAAAAAUGGCAAGUUGCUCUAUAUCUUCUUCCAAGGAAAAUAACUUUUUUUUUUUUUGUUUUCUUUAUAAGUAAACAAGUUUUAUUGAUCAAAGAAUAGGCAUAGCCCAGUAGAAAUACAAUAACAACUAUCAAUUAUAGUUGACAGAAGAACUUGCUACAUAAGUAAAGUCUGCAAAAUAAUUGCAGGAUAUCAAUUAUUCAAGCUCUGUAUUACCUUCGAAAAAAGGAAAGUUGUUGGCUGAUCUUAAGCAAGCACGAGCUUGUGGGCAUAUAAUACUAGAUAUAUGUAGGCAAAUGUAGGACCAGAACACAAUCAUUAUCCUAUAUAAUUUUCAUAUAGUGCCUCAAAACCCAAUGACCAGACUGGUUAUGGGUUAUGCCAGAGAAAUAGUUCACACCCGUUGUAUUCAUUUAGCUUAAUCAUUUGUUUAAAUAUUAUGUUGAGUUAUUUAGCUUCUCAAUUUAUAUUCAUUUAUAUUCAUUCAUAUAUAGCCAUAGCUCAAUCCAAAAACCAAUAUAAAUGAUGUUGAACAUUUCAGUUGCUAAUCCAUUUUCCCAGUGACCAUGUCUUGCAGAAUGGAUACUCUUCACUCCUAUCAUUCACAGCGACUGACAUUAACAAUACAGUGACAAAAUUUAGCAGUAAGGGAAAUUACCAUGAAAGCAAGGAGCUCUUUGUUUGUUUCAUUCUUGUUUUCUUCUUUAAAGUGGGUUGGUCUUGCCGGUUGCUUGGAUUGGGUCUCCCAUGUUUUUGGCCUCUGAUUUUCUUCCUGUUGGGUGUAUAACCUAGUGGAGGGAAGUUAGAAACAAGCAUAAAUCGUGCAACCUACAGCCUGAAGAGCGAUAUUCUAGCUAUUUGCGACAGUUAUAAAUCGUUGCAAAUAAUUGUGAUGUGCAGUUGUGACAAUUUUGUCCGGUAUUUGCAGCAAUGUAAAUCGCUGCAAAUAAGGUGUUAUUUCCAGCUGCUUUUGUUUAUAAGUGAAUAAACAAAUGCGACUAACAUCCAGUGCAGUAGAAAUCGCUGAGAAAGAGAAAUUGCGGCAAUUUUAGUGGUUAUUUGUGGCGAUUAAUGGUGCUACAAAAAUAUUCUUACGUACAUCCCAAUUUCGGAGCACCCAUGUUAAGGAAAAGUGGCAGAAGAAUCUGUAUCUUGCUUGUUUGUGUUAUGGGUGGACGGUAUCUUGAUCCUUUGUAAUUGCAAGGAAUUUCUAGGUCAAAAGAAAGUGGGAUUUUGGUGUUCCUCUUUUCCCAUCAUUUAUGUAGGAUUUCAUGUCAAUUGUAAAAAACGAUUGAGGAGCUUAGCUGUGGCGGCAGUCGAGACGUGCUCGUAUGUAUGAUAAAUCGGUAUUAAAGUUGUACGUUUGCCUUUCAUUUUACCUCCUUGUACGAGUUUGUAAGAAAAAAAUAUAUAGUGGCGCACCAUUUUUUC
This is a long non-coding RNA of Carya illinoinensis, 2145 nucleotides long. RefSeq lists it as uncharacterized. NCBI's taxonomy places the organism in Eukaryota, Viridiplantae, Streptophyta, Magnoliopsida, Fagales, Juglandaceae. The transcript is spliced from 5 exons. The record is from RefSeq and is a predicted model, not a curated record.